AUUCAAGUAGCUUAUAUAGAGUAUAACAUUGAAGCUGUUAUGGAAACAAUUAUAUGUUCUUGAAUA
RNAcentral lists this transfer RNA (66 nucleotides) under Tachycines shuangcha. RNAcentral's name for it is "tRNA-Phe". Lineage: Eukaryota; Metazoa; Arthropoda; Insecta; Orthoptera; Rhaphidophoridae. The record is from RNAcentral.